This 506-nucleotide ribosomal RNA is filed under the name uncultured bacterium. RNAcentral's name for it is "partial 16S ribosomal RNA". It matches the Rfam family "Bacterial small subunit ribosomal RNA", at positions 29 to 523 of the family's 1533-position model. The record is from RNAcentral.
AGUGAGCGCUGGCGGUAGGCCUAACACAUGCAAGUCGAACGGCAGCACAGGAGAGCUUGCUCUCUGGGUGGCGAGUGGCGGACGGGUGAGGAAUACAUCGGAAUCUACUCUGUCGUGGGGGAUAACGUAGGGAAACUUACGCUAAUACCGCAUACGACCUACGGGUGAAAGCAGGGGACCUUCGGGCCUUGCGCGAUUGAAUGAGCCGAUGUCGGAUUAGCUAGUUGGCGGGGUAAAGGCCCACCAAGGCGACGAUCCGUGGCUGGUCUGAGAGGAUGAUCAGCCACACUGGAACUGAGACACGGUCCAGACUCCUACGGGAGGCAGCAGUGGGGAAUAUUGGACAAUGGGCGCAAGCCUGAUCCAGCCAUACCGCGUGGGUGAAGAAGGCCUUCGGGUUGUAAAGCCCUUUUGUUGGGAAAGAAAGCCAUCUGGUUAAUACCCGGGUGGGAUGACGGUACCCAAAGAAUAAGCACCGGCUAACUUCGUGCCAGCCGCCGCCGUAA